This 494-nucleotide ribosomal RNA is filed under the name uncultured bacterium. Its description in RNAcentral is "partial 16S ribosomal RNA". It matches the Rfam family "Bacterial small subunit ribosomal RNA", at positions 28 to 507 of the family's 1533-position model. The record is from RNAcentral.
GACGAACGCUGGCGGCGUGCUUAACACAUGCAAGUCGAACGGAAAGGCCUGCUUUCCCUUGUGGAUUGCGGGUGCUCGAGUGGCGAACGGGUGAGUAACACGUGAGUGAUCUGCCCCCAACUUGGGUAUAAGCCUGGGAAACUGGGUCUAAUUCCCGAUAGGACUGCAGGGUGGUGCCUGUGGUGGAAAACGAUUUUCUAGUGGUUGGGGAUGAGCUCGCGGCCUAUCAGCUUGUUGGUGGGGUAAUGGCCUACCAAGGCGGCGACGGGUAGCCGGCCUGGGAGGGUGGACGGCAACAUUGGGACUGAGAUACGGCCCAGACUCCUACGGGAGGCAGCAGUGGGGAAUAUUGCACAAUGGGCGGAAGCCUGAUGCAGCGACGCCGCGUGGGGGAUGACGGCCUUCGGGUUGUAAACUCCUUUCGACCGCGAGGAAGCCACCUGGUUGGAAGGGUGGUGACGGUAGUGGUAGAAGAAGCACCGGCUAACUACGUG